This 403-nucleotide ribosomal RNA is filed under the name uncultured bacterium. Its description in RNAcentral is "partial 16S ribosomal RNA". It matches the Rfam family "Bacterial small subunit ribosomal RNA", at positions 30 to 526 of the family's 1533-position model. The record is from RNAcentral.
AUUGAACGCUGGCGGCAGGCCUAACACAUGCAAGUCGAGCGAGCGGCGGACGGGUGAGUAAUGUAUGGGGACUGCCCGAUAAGGGGGGAUAACUACUGGAAACGGUAGCUAAUACCGGAUACUAUCGGAUAACCCAUAUGGGAUUAGCUAGUAGGUGAGGUAAUGUCUCACCUAGGCGACGAUCCCUAGCUGGUCUGAGAGGAUGAUCAGCCACACUGGAACUGAGACACGGCCCAGACUCCUACGGAGGCAGCAGUGGGGAAUCUUGCACAAUGGGCGCAAGCCUGACGGAGCCAUGCCGCGUGUGUGAAGAAGGCCUUAGGGUUGUAAAGUACUUUCAGUCGGGAGGCGUUACCGACAGAAGAAGCACCGGCUAACUCCGUGCCAGCAGCCGCGGUAAUAC